This 372-nucleotide ribosomal RNA is filed under the name uncultured organism. RNAcentral describes it as "bacterial SSU rRNA". It matches the Rfam family "Bacterial small subunit ribosomal RNA", at positions 526 to 896 of the family's 1533-position model. The record is from RNAcentral.
CAGAGGGUGCGAGCGUUGUUCGGAAUUAUUGGGCGUAAAGCGCGUGUAGGCGGCUUAGUAAGUUGGGUGUGAAAGCCCUCGGCUUAACCGAGGAAGUGCGCCCAAAACUGCUUGGCUUGAGUACCGGAGAGGGUGGCGGAAUUCCCGGUGUAGAGGUGAAAUUCGUAGAUAUCGGGAGGAACACCAGCGGCGAAGGCGGCCACCUGGACGGAUACUGACGCUGAGACGCGAAAGCGUGGGGAGCAAACAGGAUUAGAUACCCUGGUAGUCCACGCUGUAAACGAUGAGCGCUAGGUGUUGCGGGUGUUGACCCCUGCAGUGCCGCAGCUAACGCAUUAAGCGCUCCGCCUGGGAAGUACGGCCGCAAGGCUA